UGUGUGUCGUAGUUAACGCGUUAAACAGGGCGCCUGGGAAGUACGGCCGCAAGGCUAAAACCCAAAGGAAUUGACGGGGACCCGCACAAGCAGUGGAGCGCCUGGUUUAAUUCGAUGGUCAGCGAAGAACCUCACCUAGGCUUGAACUGUAGCUGCACGCUCCCAGAAACGGGAGAAUCCUUCGAGGGUGCUACAGAGGUGCCGCAUGGCUGUCGUCAGCUCGUGUCGUGAGAUGUAGGGUUAAGUCCCACAACGAGCGCAACCCCUAUUCAGUGUUAUAAUUACUCUGAAGACUGCCCUGUCCAAACGGGGAGGAAGGAGGGGACGACGUCCAGUCAUCAUGUCCCUUAUGUCUAGGGCUACACAGACGCUACAAUGGCCGGUACAAUGGGUUGCCAAACCGCGAGGUGGAGCCAAUCCCAUCAAAGCCGGUCCCAGUUCGGAUUGCAGUCUGCAACUCGACUGCAUGAAGUUGGAAUUGCUAGUAAUCGCGAAUCAGCACGUCGCGGUGAAUACGUUCUCGGGUCUUGUACACACCGCCCGUCAGGGCACGGGAGUCGCUCUUGCUCGAAGUCC
RNAcentral lists this ribosomal RNA (576 nucleotides) under uncultured organism. RNAcentral describes it as "bacterial SSU rRNA". It matches the Rfam family "Bacterial small subunit ribosomal RNA", at positions 840 to 1429 of the family's 1533-position model. The record is from RNAcentral.